GGUAACGGCUCACCUAGGCGACGAUCCCUAGCUGGUCUGAGAGGAUGACCAGCCACACUGGAACUGAGACACGGUCCAGACUCCUACGGGAGGCAGCAGUGGGGAAUAUUGCACAAUGGGCGCAAGCCUGAUGCAGCCAUGCCGCGUGUAUGAAGAAGGCCUUCGGGUUGUAAAGUACUUUCAGCGGGGAGGAAGGGAGUAAAGUUAAUACCUUUGCUCAUUGACGUUACCCGCAGAAGAAGCACCGGCUAACUCCGUGCCAGCAGCCGCGGUAAUACGGAGGGUGCAAGCGUUAAUCGGAAUUACUGGGCGUAAAGCGCACGCAGGCGGUUUGUUAAGUCAGAUGUGAAAUCCCCGGGCUCAACCUGGGAACUGCAUCUGAUACUGGCAAGCUUGAGUCUCGUAGAGGGGGGUAGAAUUCCAGGUGUAGCGGUGAAAUGCGUAGAGAUCUGGAGGAAUACCGGUGGCGAAGGCGGCCCCCUGGACGAAGACUGAC
This 496-nucleotide ribosomal RNA is filed under the name Escherichia coli. Its description in RNAcentral is "bacterial SSU rRNA". It matches the Rfam family "Bacterial small subunit ribosomal RNA", at positions 256 to 744 of the family's 1533-position model. Lineage: Bacteria; Pseudomonadati; Pseudomonadota; Gammaproteobacteria; Enterobacterales; Enterobacteriaceae. The record is from RNAcentral.